UUAACAGCUGACAUUUAUUGAGUACUUAUUAUGGGCUUGACAGUUUUAUAAGUGCUUUACGUGGAUGGAGACCUUUAAUGCUCACAACAGCCUUGUGAGGUCAUGGAGUCUUGUCACCCAGGCUGGAGUGCAGUGGUGCGACCUUGGCUCACUGCAACCUCUGCCUCCCGGGUUCAAGUGAUUCUUCUGCCUCAGCCUCUGGAGUAGCUGGGAUUACAGAUGCCUGCCACCACGUCUGGCUAAUUUUUUGUAUUUUUAGUAGAAAAGGGGUUUCACCAUAUGGCCAGACUGGUCUCGGAACUCCUGAUCUCAGGUGAUCCAACCUCCUCAGCCUCCCAAAGUGCUGGGAUUACAGGCGUGAGCCACCGAGCCCGGCUGAGGUCAAUGUUAUUAUUACCAUCUCAUUUUAUAGAUAAGAAAAGAGGCUUGGAGAGGCUCUGGGAUGUCCCCGCAGUCACACAGGCAGUAGGUGGGAGAGCCAGAUUUGAGAAAUAAUAUGAAUUUCAUAUGGCUUAGACACUAGUGGGGGAAAUGAACAUCAACAACCAGUGAUCACAGUGAUCUCUAGAUGCCCUUGGGAAAUGCUGGCCUGGACACACCUGAGUAAGGUCUUGGUGGUGCAGAGCCUGGAAAAAUGAGCACUGAGGCAUUAGCACCUAGCUCAGACUCAUCUGCAAGAACUGCCACUUAUCAGCUGUGAGAGCUUAGGCACCUUACUUCCCCAGGGGCUGAAGACCCCUCCUGACAGAGGGGACAAACUAACCCUGCAAAUAUGCUGGCCUGGGCAAUACCCUGGUGGACAUGUUCAGUGCCUUUCCUUCCUCUUUCUUCUGUCUUCCCACAUGUUCGCUGCCUAAUGGUGGGGGUCUGCCCCCAUCCACCAUCCUGAGACUGAGGGCCACCCUGCCCACCAGCCUGAGGGUGGAGUGUGCCCUGCCCACCAGCCUGAGGGUGGAGUGUGCCCUGCCCACCAGCCUGAGGGUAGGAUAUGACCCUGCCUGUAGAGGGCUUCACCAGGAGUCCCAGGCCCACCCACCCUGUACCUGAGGAGUGGAAAAUCAGAAACCCUAUUUUUUCACGAACUGCACAUGCCUCCCUCAUCACCAGCACACGCGAUUUGCAGGGAGAGCAGACUUUUUUUUUUCUUCCUGAGACGGGGUCUUGCUCUGUCUCCCAGGCUAGAGUGCAGAGGCAUAACCACAGCUCACUGCAGCCUUGACCUCUCAGGCUGAAGCGAUCCUCUCACCUCAGCCUCCCAGGUAGCUGGGACUACAGGUGCAUGCUACCAUGCCUUGCUAAUUUUUAAAUUUUUUUAUAGAGACACGGUCUCACUAUUUUGCCCAGGCUGGUCUCAAACUCCUGGGUUCAAGUGAUCCUCCCGCCUUAGCCUCCCAAAGUGCUGGGGUUACAGGUGCAAGCCACUGUGCCUGGCUAGAUUUUAGUAUUUUACCCAACUGAAUCUCUUUUGGAUUUUACUGCUCAGCCCCAAAGCACUGCUGGAAAGGGAUCAGGAAGAGAGGGGGAAAAGUUAGAUUUUGUGUGUCCAAACAGGUUCUUUUUCUUUCUUUUCUUUAGAGACAAGGUCUCACUAUAUGAGAGCUGGUCUCAAACUCUUAGGCUUAAGUGAUCCUUCUGCCUCAGCCUUCUGAGAAGCUGGUACUAUAGGAACAAGCCCCCAUGCCCAGCUCUCCAAACAGGUUAUUCUUAAAAUUAAAAACAAACAAAAGAAACCUAAAAGCAAAAAGCCAAAAGGAAGCACUCCAUGAGAAUGGGAGGCUUGCAGGUAUUAUAGGCAGAGGAAGCUGCUGUCCCUUGCAGGGCAAAGGCUGCAUACAGGCAAAGGCCCACAGUGUCAGGGCUGGGGGCACCCCCUCCCCCCAGUUUCUUUGGUCUCAUCUCUGCUAUCUAAUGUAAGCAUUUUAAUGUCACCUACAAAGGUACUCCUAGCACCCAUUUCUCAUGUUGAUGUUGUUUUCCAACACUCCGAGGCUUGGGCUCUGGAGCUCCCUGUGCUGUGAGCACGUUUCUGGGGACUCGGGUGCAGGGAGCCAGGCAAAGGCCCACAGUGUCAGGGCUGU
This 2078-nucleotide long non-coding RNA is filed under the name Homo sapiens (human). RNAcentral describes it as "HSALNT0039707". The record is from RNAcentral. Lineage: Eukaryota; Metazoa; Chordata; Mammalia; Primates; Hominidae.